CUCUAAUGCUAAUUCUAUUUACCUGACUGUUGGUAGGGCACCACUGCUCCAGGUAUUGGCGCCUGUAUUCCAGGAGGCUGUGGUGGGUAUACUUGGGUAGGUUUAUCUGAAGGUACGCCAGAUCGCUCUAUUGCUAACUCUAUCUCUUCUUUGGUAAGGCCU
Long non-coding RNA from Mytilus californianus (California mussel), 162 nucleotides. RefSeq lists it as uncharacterized. Lineage: Eukaryota; Metazoa; Mollusca; Bivalvia; Mytilida; Mytilidae. The transcript has 3 exons. The record is from RefSeq and is a predicted model, not a curated record.